This 336-nucleotide ribosomal RNA is filed under the name uncultured bacterium. Its description in RNAcentral is "bacterial SSU rRNA". It matches the Rfam family "Bacterial small subunit ribosomal RNA", at positions 28 to 325 of the family's 1533-position model. The record is from RNAcentral.
GAUGAACGCUGGCGGCGUGCCUAAUACAUGCAAGUCGAACGCAUUGUGGUUGAAAUGAUAUGAAGAACUUGUUCAGAUUUGAUUUUCAACAUUGCAAUGAGUGGCGAACGGGUGAGUAACACGUGGGAAACCUACCUCUUAGCAGGGGAUAACAUUUGGAAACAAAUGCUAAUACCGUAUAAUAAUUAAAACCGCAUGGUUUUAGUUUAAAAGAUGGUCUUGCUAUCACUAAGAGAUGGUCCCGCGGUGUAUUAGUUAGUUGGUGAGGUAAUGGCUAACCAAGACAAUGAUACAUAGCCGAGUUGAGAGACUGACGGCCACAAUGGGACGUGAGAC